CGAUAGCUCAGUAGGAUAGAGCGACUGCCUCCUAAGCAGUAGGCCAUCGGUUCGAUUCCGGUUC
RNAcentral lists this transfer RNA (64 nucleotides) under pig gut metagenome. It matches the Rfam family "tRNA", at positions 6 to 65 of the family's 71-position model. Rfam says of the family: Transfer RNA (tRNA) molecules are approximately 80 nucleotides in length. The record is from RNAcentral.